RNAcentral lists this ribosomal RNA (402 nucleotides) under uncultured bacterium. RNAcentral describes it as "bacterial SSU rRNA". It matches the Rfam family "Bacterial small subunit ribosomal RNA", at positions 362 to 758 of the family's 1533-position model. The record is from RNAcentral.
UUUUGGACAAUGGGCGAAAGCCUGAUCCAGCAAUGCCGCGUGCAGGAAGAAGGCCUUCGGGUUGUAAACUGCUUUUGUACGGAACGAAACGGCCUUUUCUAAUAAAGAGGGCUAAUGACGGUACCGUAAGAAUAAGCACCGGCUAACUACGUGCCAGCAGCCGCGGUAAUACGUAGGGUGCGAGCGUUAAUCGGAAUUACUGGGCGUAAAGCGUGCGCAGGCGGUUCUAUAAGACAGAUGUGAAAUCCCCGGGCUCAACCUGGGAAUGGCAUUUGUGACUGUAGAGCUAGAGUACGGUAGAGGGGGAUGGAAUUCCGCGUGUAGCAGUGAAAUGCGUAGAUAUGCGGAGUAACACCGAGGCGAAGGCAAUCCCCUGACCUGUACUGACGCUCAUGCACGAAA